This 252-nucleotide ribosomal RNA is filed under the name uncultured bacterium. RNAcentral describes it as "partial 16S ribosomal RNA". It matches the Rfam family "Bacterial small subunit ribosomal RNA", at positions 524 to 776 of the family's 1533-position model. The record is from RNAcentral.
UACGGAGGGUGCGAGCGUGUCCGGAAUUAUUGGGCGUAAAGAGCUCGUAGGUGGCCUGUCGCGUCGGCUGUGAAAACUCGGGGCUCAACUCCGAGCUUGCAGUCGAUACGGGCAGGCUAGAGUUCGGCAGGGGAGACUGGAAUUCCUGGUGUAGCGGUGGAAUGCGCAGAUAUCAGGAGGAACACCAAUGGCGAAGGCAGAUCUCUGGGCCGUAACUGACGCUGAGGAGCGAAAGCAUGGGGAGCGAACAGG